This 426-nucleotide ribosomal RNA is filed under the name uncultured bacterium. RNAcentral describes it as "partial 16S ribosomal RNA". It matches the Rfam family "Bacterial small subunit ribosomal RNA", at positions 355 to 774 of the family's 1533-position model. The record is from RNAcentral.
UGGGGAAUAUUGCACAAUGGGCGCAAGCCUGAUGCAGCCAUGCCGCGUGUAUGAAGAAGGCCUUCGGGUUGUAAAGUACUUUCAGCGAGGAGGAAGGCGUUGUGGUUAAUAACCGCAACGAUUGACGUUACUCGCAGAAGAAGCACCGGCUAACUCCGUGCCAGCAGCCGCGGUAAUACGGAGGGUGCAAGCGUUAAUCGGAAUUACUGGGCGUAAAGCGCACGCAGGCGGUCUGUCAAGUCGGAUGUGAAUCCCCGGGCUCAACCUGGGAACUGCAUCCGAAACUGGCAGGCUAGAGUCUUGUAGAGGGGGGUAGAAUUCCAGGUGUAGCGGUGAAAUGCGUAGAGAUCUGGAGGAAUACCGGUGGCGAAGGCGGCCCCCUGGACAAAGACUGACGCUCAGGUGCGAAAGCGUGGGGAGCAAACA